Bos taurus (domestic cattle) is the source of this 1174-nucleotide long non-coding RNA. NCBI's taxonomy places the organism in Eukaryota, Metazoa, Chordata, Mammalia, Artiodactyla, Bovidae. The record is from Ensembl.
GGCCAGGUUUCUGGCCACGGACACCAACAGCCCAGGCCUGGAGUCAGGCAGACACUCACACGGUGUGUAAGCCUCAGAUCACCCUCGCUGAGUCUGGGAAAGUCCCAGAGCCUCUCUGAGCCUGCCUGCUUGUAGGGGCGUUUAGCAUAAAGGCACUGACGUGCUCAGGGCUCCUGUGAUGGUUCAAAGACCCGUGGGCAAAUGGCCAGGGAGAGCCUUGCAGACGGAACACAGGAGCCUUUGGUAAACAGUGGUGAGUCUCCCCGGACUUCUUUGCUUAGGAGAGGUGGCAGAUACGUGCGGUAACGUUUCUAAAACUCUUAAACUUGCUGGGCCCAUUUCACACAGUGGAGCCCCUUGCUCAUGUUCGCCUCCGCAAAGCUAUUGUUAAAUCCACGGUCCCAUCUCAUGACACGCCUGAGUUAAGGAGCCUGGAACUGUCUAGUCAAGCGCCUGCAAGGCGCCCCACGUUCCUGGAGGAGCAGUGCACGGGGGGAGUCACCUUAUUAUGACUCACUCCACCCCUGAGUCAGUCUGGUUCGGGCCACUUUCACGGGCACCCAGGGCUCUUUCUGAGGCAGAGUGAAGUGGCUCAAGACCCAGGCUGCAGAUGGAGUGGAAGCACUGGGAUGUGAUGGGCCACACCCUAGCCAGGCCUCUCAUCCAACAUCAGGCUCCACCCUCCGCCAGGGAGAUGGUGACAGAGAGGGGAGAUCGGAGGAUGGGCUCCUCUAAGAGGCAACCCCCCAAAGUUUUACAACCGGGGAUGGGGGAGGGGGCGGCUCCUGUUUGCUAGGUUAAGAAGGAGCUGAUUCAGGCUUCCCGCUGCAAGUUCCGGUGGGAAAUGCGGGUUUCCCUAGUUGCCCUGUGCAGGAACUGACUUUUGGAAUGAAUGGCAAGGGAAGAAGUGAAAGCUUUUGCUUCUUCUCUUAUUCCUCUGCAGGAUGGAGACAUGGGUCCCUGAUACAGGUUAUUACUGGAUAUUGAGCAGAGUUCCCUGUGCUCUACAGCAGGUCCUUGCAUGUGUCAAUCCCAAACUCCGGAUCUACUCCUCUCCCCACCCUUCCCCUCCUGGUAAAUUUCAUCUCUAAAUCUGUGAGUCUGUUUCUGUUUUGUGAACAAGUUCAUUUGUAUCUUUUUUCCUAACUCCCAGGCACUGUGAGUAAAACCCACG